UGCCAGCAGCCGCGGUAAUACGUAGGGGGCAAGCGUUGUCCGGAUUUAUUGGGCGUAAAGAGCGUGUAGGCGGUUUGGUAGGUCCGCUGUGAAAACUCGAGGCUCAACCUCGAGACGCCGGUGGAAACCAUCAGGCUAGAGUCCGGAAGAGGAGAGUGGAAUUCCUGGUGUAGCGGUGAAAUGCGCAGAUAUCAGGAAGAACACCCGUGGCUAAGGCGGCUCUCUAGUACGGUACUGACGCUGGGACGCGAAAGCGUGGGGAGCGAACAGGAUUAGAUACCCUGGUAGUCCACGCCGUAAACGAUGGGUGCUAGGUGUAGGGGGUGUCGACUCCCUCUGUGCCGAAGCUAACGCAUUAAGCACCCCGCCUGGGGAGUACGGCCGCAAGGCUAAAACUCAAAGGAAUUGACGGGGGCCCGCACAAGA
Molecule: ribosomal RNA, 426 nt
Filed under: uncultured bacterium
Lineage: Bacteria
Description: bacterial SSU rRNA
Rfam family: Bacterial small subunit ribosomal RNA
Source: RNAcentral